Molecule: long non-coding RNA, 350 nt
Filed under: Physcomitrium patens
Lineage: Eukaryota; Viridiplantae; Streptophyta; Bryopsida; Funariales; Funariaceae
Description: long non-coding RNA (PPAT_LNC008621)
Source: RNAcentral
GAUUAAGCUUGGUGCUACCUCUUUGUUUUUCUUUAUUGUUGAAAAGUAAUGGAUAGUUUUUAAAUAUUGAAAAGUGAGUCCGUAGAAUAAAUCAGAGAUUGAUUUAUGAGUUAUUGAUUAUAUAAUUUGAGCACUGAGUAAUUGAAUUAUAUGAAGAGUUAUUGGAAGAUUAUGAUUGUUGUUUAUUGAGAGCUGUGUGUGUUUGAACAAAGGAAGUAUGUGAUUACAGAAAUUAUGUGAAUCUAGAUUGGUUGGAGUGAAGUCUGUUAUUUUUGGUGUUGGAUGGAAAUUAUGUGAUUUGAACAGUCUUUUGAGAGUGCAGGGUUGCACAUUAUUAUUAUCAGUUGAUG